GGAGGGCUGGCAGAGUGGUUGAAUGCACCAGUCUUGAAAACUGGCAAGGGUUCGCGCCCUUCGUGAGUUCGAAUCUCACGCCCUCCGCCA
This 90-nucleotide transfer RNA is filed under the name Gallionella sp. RNAcentral describes it as "tRNA-Ser". It matches the Rfam family "tRNA". Rfam says of the family: Transfer RNA (tRNA) molecules are approximately 80 nucleotides in length. Their secondary structure includes four short double-helical elements and three loops (D, anti-codon, and T loops). Further hydrogen bonds mediate the characteristic L-shaped molecular structure. tRNAs have two regions of fundamental functional importance: the anti-codon, which is responsible for specific mRNA codon recognition, and the 3' end, to which the tRNAs corresponding amino acid is attached (by aminoacyl-tRNA synthetases). tRNAs cope with the degeneracy of the genetic code in two manners: having more than one tRNA (with a specific anti-codon) for a particular amino acid; and 'wobble' base-pairing, i.e. permitting non-standard base-pairing at the 3rd anti-codon position. Lineage: Bacteria; Pseudomonadati; Pseudomonadota; Betaproteobacteria; Nitrosomonadales; Gallionellaceae. The record is from RNAcentral.